Cavia porcellus (domestic guinea pig) is the source of this 64-nucleotide non-coding RNA. The record is from Rfam. NCBI's taxonomy places the organism in Eukaryota, Metazoa, Chordata, Mammalia, Rodentia, Caviidae.
GGGGAUUUAGCUCAGUGGCAUAAGCACCUGCCUUGCAAGCAGUCAGUUGUGAGUUCGAUCCCCA